RNAcentral lists this unclassified non-coding RNA (203 nucleotides) under uncultured Flavobacteriaceae bacterium. Its description in RNAcentral is "contains 16S-23S intergenic spacer region". It matches the Rfam family "Bacterial small subunit ribosomal RNA", at positions 992 to 1198 of the family's 1533-position model. Lineage: Bacteria; Pseudomonadati; Bacteroidota; Flavobacteriia; Flavobacteriales; Flavobacteriaceae. The record is from RNAcentral.
CGACGUAUUUGGAAACAAGUAUUUCUUCGGACUGAUUGCAAGGUGCUGCAUGGUUGUCGUCAGCUCGUGCCGUGAGGUGUCAGGUUAAGUCCUAUAACGAGCGCAACCCCUGUGGUUAGUUACCAGCACAUAACGGUGGGGACUCUAACCAGACUGCCGGUGCAAACCGUGAGGAAGGUGGGGAUGACGUUAGCCUAUCGAGA